UACGUAGGGGGCAAGCGUUGUCCGGAUUUAUUGGGCGUAAAGAGCGUGUAGGCGGCUUUACAGGUCCGUUGUGAAAACUCGAGGCUCAACCUCGAGACGCCGGUGGAAACCGUAAGGCUAGAGUCCGGAAGAGGAGAGUGGAAUUCCUGGUGUAGCGGUGAAAUGCGCAGAUAUCAGGAAGAACACCCGUGGCGAAGGCGGCUCUCUGGGACGGUACUGACGCUGAGAGACGAAAGCUAGGGGAGCGAAUGGG
RNAcentral lists this ribosomal RNA (253 nucleotides) under uncultured bacterium. RNAcentral's name for it is "partial 16S ribosomal RNA". It matches the Rfam family "Bacterial small subunit ribosomal RNA", at positions 524 to 776 of the family's 1533-position model. The record is from RNAcentral.